This 86-nucleotide transfer RNA is filed under the name Thermoplasmatales archaeon. Its description in RNAcentral is "tRNA-Ser". It matches the Rfam family "tRNA". From Rfam's summary of the family: Transfer RNA (tRNA) molecules are approximately 80 nucleotides in length. Their secondary structure includes four short double-helical elements and three loops (D, anti-codon, and T loops). Further hydrogen bonds mediate the characteristic L-shaped molecular structure. tRNAs have two regions of fundamental functional importance: the anti-codon, which is responsible for specific mRNA codon recognition, and the 3' end, to which the tRNAs corresponding amino acid is attached (by aminoacyl-tRNA synthetases). tRNAs cope with the degeneracy of the genetic code in two manners: having more than one tRNA (with a specific anti-codon) for a particular amino acid; and 'wobble' base-pairing, i.e. permitting non-standard base-pairing at the 3rd anti-codon position. The record is from RNAcentral. Lineage: Archaea; Methanobacteriati; Thermoplasmatota; Thermoplasmata; Thermoplasmatales.
GCUGGGGUAGCCAAGCCCGGACCAAGGCGGUAGUCUCGAAAACUACUGGUGAUUUCACCUCGGGGGUUCAAAUCCCUUCCCCAGCG